AUGCAAAUAAGGUAUAUCUGUUUUAUAUUUUUAAUACAUUUCCUAAAAUGUAUAACAACCUGUUCUUGUUUUGUCAUUGUGGGCUAUUGUGAUGUCAUUAUGGGGUAUUGUGAUUUAAUUGUUGGGUAUUGUGAUGUCAUUAUGGGGUAUUGUGAUGUCAUUAUGGGGUAUUGUGAUGUCAUUGUUGGGUAUUGUGAUGUCAUUAUGGGGUAUUGUGAUGUUAUUGUGGGGUAUUGUGAUGUCAUUAUGGGGUAUUGUGAUGUCAUUAUGGGGUAUUGUGAUGUCAUUGUUGGGUAUUGUGAUGUUAUUGUGGGGUAUUGGGAUGUCAUUGUGGGGUAUUGUGAUGUCAUUGUUGGGUAUGCACAGUAUGACAUAGACUCUUCAGUACAGUAUGACAUAGACUCUUCAGUACAGCAUGACAUCGACUAUUCAUUACAGUAUGACAUAGACAUAGACUCUUUAGUACUGUAUGACAUAGACUCUUCAGUACAGUAUGACAUAGACUCUUCAGUACAGUAUGACAUAGACUCUUCAGUACAGUAUGACAUCGACUAUUCAUUACAGUAUGACAUAGACAUAGACUCUUUAGUACAGUAUGACAUAGACUCUUCAAUACAGUAUGACAUAGACUCUUCAGUACAGUAUGACAUAGACUCUUCAAUACAGUAUGACAUAGACUCUUCAAUACAGUAUGUAAUAGACAUAGACUCUUCAAUACAGUAUGUAAUAGACAUAGACUCUUCAGUACAGUAUGACAUAGACUCUUCAGUACAGUAUGUCAUAGACAUAGACUCUUCAGUACAGUGUGACGUAGACUCUUCAGUACAGUAUGACAUAGACUCUUCAGUACAGUAUGUCAUAGACAUAGACUCUUCAGUACAGUGUGACGUAGACUCUUCAGUACAGUAUGACAUAGACUCUUCAGUACAGUAUGACAUAGACUCUUCAAUACAGUAUGACAUAGACUCUUCAAUACAGUAUGUAAUAGACAUAGACUCUUCAGUACAGUAUGACAUAGACUCUUCAGUACAGUAUGUCAUAGACAUAGACUCUUCAGUACAGUGUGACGUAGACUCUUCAGUACAGUAUGACAUAGACUCUUCAGUACAGUAUGACAUAGACUCUUCAGUGCAGUAUGACAUAGACUCUUCAGUACAGUAUGACAUAGACUCUUCGGUACAGUAUGACAUAGAUUCUUCGGUACAGUAUGAAAUAGACAUAGACUCUUCAAUACAGUAUGACAUAGACUCUUCAGUGCAGUAUGACGUAGACUCUUCAAUACAGUAUGACAUAGACUCUUCGGUACAGUAUGACAUAGACUCUUCGGUACAGCAUGACAUAGACUCUUCGGUACAGCAUGACAUAGACUCUUCAGUGCAGUAUGUGGAUGUUUCUCCAGCCCUGAGGCUCUAG
Molecule: long non-coding RNA, 1413 nt
Filed under: Oncorhynchus mykiss (rainbow trout)
Lineage: Eukaryota; Metazoa; Chordata; Actinopteri; Salmoniformes; Salmonidae
Description: lncRNA (ENSOMYG00000048623.1)
Source: RNAcentral